Molecule: non-coding RNA, 67 nt
Filed under: Spodoptera frugiperda (fall armyworm)
Lineage: Eukaryota; Metazoa; Arthropoda; Insecta; Lepidoptera; Noctuidae
Source: RNAcentral
ACAAUGGACUUAGUUUCAGACCUUAUCCUUAUCUGAAGUACAAAGGUCUAAAGUUUGUCUAUUGUCU